UUAGCACCCAAGCAGGACCUGCUGAACCUGGGGCCCUAUAGGAGAGCACUGAUGGCCCACCCCUGAUUGUGGCCCUGGUCUUCAUGUCUGCAUCAGCCUCAGCCAUCUCAAGACCACAACAGGAACAUAGCCAAGUCAGAGAAGGAAGACCAAAAGCACCAGGGCCCUUCAUAUUAUUAAGCUGCUAAAUUAACUAAUCUUGGAAACUUCUAGACUCUACAAUUCUUGUUGUAUGAGAAAUCAUCUACUACAUAAAAUUCUGGUUUCAUACUUGGCCAUUCCUGCUUAACGGAGCUAACAAAGAAAUUUAAG
Molecule: long non-coding RNA, 312 nt
Filed under: Homo sapiens (human)
Lineage: Eukaryota; Metazoa; Chordata; Mammalia; Primates; Hominidae
Description: non-protein coding lnc-TNFAIP6-2:2
Source: RNAcentral